UUGAAAUUAUUGUUGCCCCAGCCACACGCAAAUUCCUGAGAGGAGCUAGUGUUGAGGUACUGUGUUUGAAUGCGUGUGGAGGCCACUAGUAAGAGUCUGGAGACUCCUGUGUAACCGUGUGACCGAUCACUCUGAAAUAAAACUUUCAGAAGAGGAAACCAACCAGUGUCUGUGAUCACCCGUGUCCCAAGCUCUGUCCAUCCUUGGUUUGAGAGUUAUGGAGA
Molecule: long non-coding RNA, 224 nt
Organism: Puntigrus tetrazona (Sumatra barb)
Lineage: Eukaryota; Metazoa; Chordata; Actinopteri; Cypriniformes; Cyprinidae
Exons: 3
Source: RefSeq, a predicted model, not a curated record